GGUGUUUUUUAUGGAUGUACCUGGUUGCGAUGAAGCUAAACAAGAAAUAAUUCUAUCACUUAUUACCUUUGUCCUUCAAAUUUGAGUAUAGGCCUGCGAAAUAAUGAAUAUUUGUGUCUCAUUGCUCCAGCAUGGUCAAUAAAGAUAUGUUGACCCAGGAAAUGUGGGUUUAUCAUAGGUCCUACUGUAUACGUUGAUAUAUGAAAUAUGAUAUUUACGGUUAUAUGCUAUCACUUAUUGCCUUUGUCCUUUGCAUUGAGUAUAGGCCUGUGAAAUAAUGGUGUAUUUGUGUGUUGAUUCGUCUGUUUUCCUUCAUGUUCUGGUUCUAAGGUACCAGGACAGACCCAGAGUUAUUUGUAAAAAAAUGCGUUCCAAUGUACCAAUAUUUUGUAUCCUUUCUAAUGCUUAAAAAAGAGGCGAAUAAUUCUUUUAUAAUAUGUAAUAUAUGACAUGUGUAACACACCUUAAGAGACUACUAAGUUAUCCUGUAUAAUUGGCACGCCCUACUUUUGUAGUAAUAAAUAUAUCAGGUGCUGCUCCAUACAGGUGAUACAUUGCAUUUACCAUAGUAUUUGAUUACAUAUGAUAACAUAAAAUCUGUUUUUUCCUUAGCGGUUCGGCACAUUAGUACAUAGAAACAGCGUACAGGCAAAUUGAUUAGAUGCAUUAGUUAAGAACACUGAUUUUUUUGGAAAGCUUCAUCAUGACAUCGAUAUUGGUUUCGCCUUACUACCACUCAGAGGUUGGAUGGAGCAUCGAGGAUUUCAGGCUUGGGGUGGCCACGUGUUGCAGGAUAGCAGGAAGAGUUGGAUGUGUUCUGCAGAGACGAGGUGAUCAAUGUCGUUGCCGCCAGGUAGCUGAAGUACAAAACUUCUAAAUUUCCUCAUUUAUUUAUCCUCAUAGUUGGUUCCCUUGAUACUUUUUCUUAGAAACAUGAUCAAAGAUACAAAAAGUUUUACUUCUCAAGCAGAAGUGGCAGUAUAGUGUGCAUGUCGUAUUGCAAGUAGAUUUUAUAGAUACCAAUAGAAAUAAUAACUUGGGAUUUAUUUCUGUUCAACCUCUGUGAUCUAGAUGAGCAAAGCAACAACUUUGGCUUUAUUUCUUUGUGAUGUAGAUGAGAAAAAUAGUACCUUGGAUUUUAAUUCUAUUCUCUAUGAUGUAGAUUAGCAAGAUUUCUAACCAACAAAGUAAUUUAUUUUAGUAUGGUUUUGUCACUAUGAUUGGUAAUAUGAAGUUUAUUUAUUCUAGGUUCCUAUCUUUAGACAGUCACAUCCACGUUCGUACUUUUAGAAUAGUUGUUGCAACGGGGAAGAGCAUUUUUGCAAUAGCAAGAUAUCAGGACCCAAUGGGCAUAGGCCGAACCAACCACCAUCACUAUUGCUUCAGGAUUAGAUAGCCAACUUCCACUCACGAGGUGAGUUUGCUUACUCUACUUUCAGUGUACUGUGCAGAUAUGUUGGUUAGAAAUUUUGCUAUGUGUCUGUCAAGUUGAUUAGAUACGAAAAAUAUGCUCUAUAAUACCCACAUAAUACUUGUUUAAAUUGGCUUUUCCCUGGUUCAUCAGUGCACACAUGAAACCGGUAAUAAGAAGAGAAUCACCUGAUUUUUUAUAGUCUAUUUUAGUAAGCAUGUUCAUAAUAUUAGGAUAGUUUAAUUUGAGAACAAUCGGCUGGAGGAACGAUGUAAUUUGAUACUCUGUUAUGUUGAUCUCCAGAGAAAUUUGGUUUUUGGUUUUUCAUUGAUGUACGUUAAUCUGUUGUGAAUCUUGUUUGCUUGCACCAAUUAUAUGUGUAACAAUUAGAGGGGAACUUUUGGAACUCAUACAUUCUAUUUCAGUUAAUGUUCAAAGCAACUUUCCUGUGUGAAUCUGAUAAUCUUACUGAAACCUGUGUUUCAUUGUGUAUAUUCAGCCUCUCGAGUCAAGUUUCAGACGAUCAUGUAUCCCCUUGAUAUUCACUGGAUGGAAUCCCCUAUUUUACUCAGACUGAACCUUCUACAAACAUCAGAAAAGCAACAGUAAUAAAGAUGGACAGAAAUUCCAAAAAUAAGGUUAGUUCUUGUUUGUUCCGUAUCAUUCUCUUUACCGUUCCUUUUGGUACUAUACUCCAAAAAAGAGGCAAUCGGAAAUAUUUAGGUCCACUGAAAAGUAAUUCUGGAGCUCGCAGAGUUCUCAUUUUUCAGAUUUGUAGUAGUAUUCGCUUUUGGUUUACAUGAUAUUGGCUGUAUCUCCCUGACAACUGCUCUUUGGUUGGUGUAGGUGUUUUUUUAUGGAUGUACCUGGUUGCGAUGAAGCUAAACAAGAAAUAAUGCUAUCACUUAUUACCUUUGUCCUUCAAAUUUGAGUAUAGGCCUGCGAAAUAAUGAAUAUUUGUGUCUCAUUGCUCCAGCAUGGUCAAUAAAGAUAUGUUGACCCAGGAAAUGUGGGUUUAUCAUAGGUCCUACUGUAUACGUUGAUAUAUGAAAUAUGACAUUUACGGUUAUAUGCUAUCACUUAUUGCCUUUGUCCUUUGCAUUGAGUAUAGGCCUGUGAAAUAAUGGUGUAUUUGUGUGUUGAUUCGUCUGUUUUCCUUCAUGUUCUGGUUCUAAGGUACCAGCACAGACCCAGAGUUAUUUGCAAAAAAAUGCGUUCCAAUGUACCAAUAUUUUGUAUCCUUUCUAAUGCUUAAAAAAGAGGCGAAUAAUUAUUUUAUAAUAUGUAAUAUAUGACAUGUGUAACGCACCUUAAGAGACUACUAAGUUAUCCUGUAUAAUUGGCACGCCCUACUUUUGUAGUAAUAAAUAUAUCAGGUGCUGCUCCAUACAGGUGAUACAUUGCAUUUACCAUAGUAUUUGAUUACAUAUGAUAACAUAAAAUCUGUUUUUUCCUUAGCGGUUCGGCACAUUAGUGCAUAGAAACAGAGUACAGGCAAAUUGAUUAGAUGCAUUAGUUAAGAACACUGAUUUUUUUGGAAAGCUUCAUCAUGACAUCGAUAUUGGUUUCGCCUUACUACCACUCCGAGGUUGGAUGGAGCAUCGAGGAUUUCAGGCUUGGGGUGGCCACGUGUUGCAGGAUAGCAGGAAGAGUUGGAUGUGUUCUGCAGAGACGAGGUGAUCAAUGUCGUUGCCGCCAGGUAGCUGAAGUACAAAACUUCUAAAUUUGCUCAUUUAUUUAUCCUCAUAGUUGGUUCCCUUGAUACUUUUUCUUAGAAACAUGAUCAAAGAUACAAAAAGUUUUACUUCUGAAGCAGAAGUGGUAGUAUAGUGUGCAUGUCGUAUUGCAAGUAGAUUUUAUAGAUACCAAUAGAAAUAAUAACUUGGGAUUUAUUUCUGUUCAACCUCUGUGAUCUAGAUGAGCAAAGCAACAACUUUGGCUUUAUUUCUUUGUGAUGUAGAUGAGAAAAAUAGUACCUUGGAUUUUAAUUCUGUUCUCUAUGAUGUAGAUUAGCAAGAUUUCUAACCAACAAAGUAAUUUAUUUUAGUAUGGUUUUGUCACUAUGAUUGGUAAUAUGAAGUUUAUUUAUUCUAGGUUCCUAUCUUUAGACAGUCACAUCCACGUUCGUACUUUUAGAAUAGUUGUUGCAACGGGGAAGAGCAUUUUUGCAAUAGCAAGAUAUCAGGACCCAAUGGGCAUAGGCCGAACCAACCACCAUCACUAUUAUUUCAGGAUUAGAUAGCCAACUUCCACUCAUGAGGUGAGUUUGCUUACUCUACUUUCAGUGUACUGUGCAGAUAUGUUGGUUAGAAAUUUUGCUAUGUGCCUGUCAAGUUGAUUAGAUAUGAAAAAUAUGCUCUAUAAUACCCACAUAAUACUUGUUUAAAUUGGCUUUUCCCUGGUUCAUCAGUGCACACAUGAAACCGGUAAUAAGAAGAGAAUCACCUGAUUUUUUUAUAGUCUAUUUUAGUAAGCAUGUUCAUAAUAUUAGGAUAGUUUAAUUUGAGAACAAUUGGCUCGAGGAACGAUGUAAUUUGAUACUCUGUUAUGUUGAUCUCCAGAGAAAUUUGGUUUUUGGUUUUUCAUUGAUGUACGUUAAUCUGUUGUGAAUCUUGUUUGCUUGCACCAAUUAUAUGUGUAACAAUUAGAGGGGAAAUUUUGGAACUCAUACAUUCUAUUUCAGUUAAUGUUCAAAGCAACUUUCCUGUGUGAAUCUGAUAAUCUUACUAAAACCUGUGUUUCAUUGUGUAUAUUCAGCCUGUCGAGUCAAGUUUCAGACGAUCAUGUAUCCCCUUGAUAUUCACUGGAUGGAAUCCCCGGUUUUACUCAGACUGAACCUUCUACAAACAUCGGAAAAGCAACAGUAAUAAAGAUGGACAGAAAUUCCAAAAAUAAGGUUAGUUCUUCUUUGUUCCGUAUCAUUCUCUUUACCGUUCCUUUUGGUACUAUACUCCAAAAAAGAGGCAAUCGGAAAUAUUUAGGUCCACUGAAAAGUAAUUCUGGAGCUCGCAGAGUUCUCAUUUUUCAGAUUUGUAGUAGUAUUCGCUUUUGGUUUACAUGAUAUUGGCUGUAUCUCCCUGACAACUGCUCUUUGGUUGGUGUAGGUGUUUUUUUAUGGAUGUACCUGGUUGCGAUGAAGCUAAACAAGAAAUAAUGCUAUCACUUAUUACCUUUGUCCUUCAAAUUUGAGUAUAGGCCUGCGAAAUAAUGAAUAUUUGUGUCUCAUUGCUCCAUCAUGGUCAAUAAAGAUAUGUUGACCCAGGAAAUGUGGGUUUAUCAUAGGUCCUACUGUAUACGUUGAUAUAUGAAAUAUGACAUUUACGGUUAUAUGCUAUCACUUAUUGCCUUUGUCCUUUGCAUUGAGUAUAGGCCUGUGAAAUAAUGGUGUAUUUGUGUGUUGAUUCGUCUGUUUUCCUUCAUGUUCUGGUUCUAAGGUACCAGGACAGACCCAGAGUUAUUUGCAAAAAAAUGCGUUCCAAUGUACCAAUAUUUUGUGUCCUUUCUAAUGCUUAAAAAAGAGGCGAAUAAUUCUUUUAGAAUAUGUAAUAUAUGACAUGUGUAACGCACCUUAAGAGACUACUAAGUUAUCCUGUAUAAUUGGCACGCCCUACUUUUGUAGUAAUAAAUAUAUCAGGUGCUGCUCCAUACAGGUGAUACAUUGCAUUUACCAUAGUAUUUGAUUACAUAUGAUAACAUAAAAUCUGUUUUUUCCUUAGCGGUUCGGCACAUUAGUGCAUAGAAACAGAGUACAGGCAAAUUGAUUAGAUGCAUUAGUUAAGAACACUGAUUUUUUUGGAAAGCUUCAUCAUGACAUCGAUAUUGGUUUCGCCUUACUACCACUCAGAGGUUGGAUGGAGCAUCGAGGAUUUCAGGCUUGGGGUGGCCACGUGUUGCAGGAUAGCAGGAAGAGUUGGAUGUGUUCUGCAGAGACGAGGUGAUCAAUGUCGUUGCCGCCAGGUAGCUGAAGUACAAAACUUCUAAAUUUGCUCAUUUAUUUAUCCUCAUAGUUGGUUCCCUUGAUACUUUUUCUUAGAAACAUGAUCAAAGAUACAAAAAGUUUUACUUCUCAAGCAGAAGUGGCAGUAUAGUGUGCAUGUCGUAUUGCAAGUAGAUUUUAUAGAUACCAAUAGAAAUAAUAACUUGGGAUUUAUUUUUGUUCAACCUCUGUGAUCUAGAUGAGCAAAGCAACAACUUUGGCUUUAUUUCUUUGUGAUGUAGAUGAGAAAAACAGUACCUUGGAUUUUAAUUCUGUUCUCUAUGAUGUAGAUUAGCAAGAUUUCUAACCAACAAAGUAAUUUAUUUUAGUAUGGUUUUGUCACUAUGAUUGGUAAUAUGAAGUUUAUUUAUUCUAGGUUCCUAUCUUUAGACAGUCACAUCCACGUUCGUACUUUUAGAAUAGUUGUUGCAACGGGGAAGAGCAUUUUUGCAAUAGCAAGAUAUCAGGACCCAAUGGGCAUAGGCCGAACCAACCACCAUCACUAUUACUUCAGGAUUAGAUAGCCAACUUCCACUCAUGAGGUGAGUUUGCUUACUCUACUUUCAGUGUACUGUGCAGAUAUGUUGGUUAGAAAUUUUGCUAUGUGCCUGUCAAGUUGAUUAGAUAUGAAAAAUAUGCUCUAUAAUACCCACAUAAUACUUGUUUAAAUUGGCUUUUCCCUGGUUCAUCAGUGCACACAUGAAACCGGUAAUAAGAAGAGAAUCACCUGAUUUUUUUAUAGUCUAUUUUAGUAAGCAUGUUCAUAAUAUUAGGAUAGUUUAAUUUGAGAACAAUUGGCUGGAGGAACGAUGUAAUUUGAUACUCUGUUAUGUUGAUCUCCAGAGAAAUUUGGUUUUUGGUUUUUCAUUGAUGUACGUUAAUCUGUUGUGAAUCUUGUUUGCUUGCACCAAUUAUAUGUGUAACAAUUAGAGGGGAAAUUUUGGAACUCAUACAUUCUAUUUCAGUUAAUGUUCAAAGCAACUUUCCUGUGUGAAUCUGAUAAUCUUACUGAAACCUGUGUUUCAUUGUGUAUAUUCAGCCUCUCGAGUCAAGUUUCAGACGAUCAUGUAUCCCCUUGAUAUUCACUGGAUGGAAUCCCCUAUUUUACUCAGACUGAACCUUCUACAAACAUCGGAAAAGCAACAGUAAUAAAGAUGGACAGAAAUUCCAAAAAUAAGGUUAGUUCUUCUUUGUUCCGUAUCAUUCUCUUUACCGUUCCUUUUGGUACUAUACUCCAAAAAAGAGGCAAUCGGAAAUAUUUAG
RNAcentral lists this long non-coding RNA (6650 nucleotides) under Triticum aestivum (bread wheat). RNAcentral's name for it is "long non-coding RNA (TAES_LNC012417)". The record is from RNAcentral. Lineage: Eukaryota; Viridiplantae; Streptophyta; Magnoliopsida; Poales; Poaceae.